RNAcentral lists this long non-coding RNA (920 nucleotides) under Fukomys damarensis (Damara mole-rat). Its description in RNAcentral is "lncRNA (ENSFDAG00000021924.1)". The record is from RNAcentral. Lineage: Eukaryota; Metazoa; Chordata; Mammalia; Rodentia; Bathyergidae.
UUCUUCUAAAAGAAUGGUGUCUUAAACAUUUACUGAUACAUCAUUCUUCUAUUUCAGUUCAAGGACUCCAUCCUGGAUAAAGCAAUUCACAGUCAACAUACCAAGGACUAGGACUUGGUAAUAGCAUAAAGUAUAAGAGGAGAGGACGGCAAUGGCCAGCUUAUAAAGGCCUUGGUAAAAAAAGUCAUCCCCCUGGCUUGAACUCAGAGCCUCCUCUGCUAUGUGGCCCUGCACGAACUACGGGCCUCCUCUGUAGCCGUGCCGUUUCCAGUGGGAGCCACUGAUUGGCUCUGCAACAGUUCCAGAACCUGCAUUUCUGCCUCUUUUCGGUAGUGGUGGCAAUGACACAAUAAGAUGUCCCCAAAAUCUGUCCAAGAAGCAGAAAUGAACAAAUAUUUUUGGAAUGGUAAGCAAGCAUAUUAUUUAAUUCACUGAGCAGCUAGAGUUCAUAAAGUAAACCUCCCCAACUAGAGUGGUAAACAACAUCAAGUGUGUCAUCGGCAUUUAUGAGAAAUUAUGAUGAGAUAGAUUGGGAUAUAGAAAGCCAGACAUUUAAGAAAAUUGCUUCUUAAAAGCUUCCAUCUCUCACCAAAAGAGUUGCUUUUUCGGUCAAAAGUCAUGUAAAACUAUGAGUUUCCAAAUUUGUGUAAUUGAAAAAAAGUUCAAUUUUAAUUUCAGCUGAAAGCUGUGCUUAUUCUGACACUGCCAAAAUCCUUAUUGCCAUGGAUUUGAGAGACUGAAGAAAACAGCUCUUAAAUGACAUUUUGCUGAAUUUUUUUCUAAAGGGAUUUUACUCUUCAGUGAUUUUUUUGCCAGGUGUUAUGCACAUUUAUUUUGAGCAGAUGUUCCGUUGCUUGCUUUUCUCAAAUGUCAUAGCAACUCUGGGCAACUCUCCCUAAAAUUAUUUAUUUUUUCUGGCC